This 254-nucleotide ribosomal RNA is filed under the name uncultured bacterium. Its description in RNAcentral is "partial 16S ribosomal RNA". It matches the Rfam family "Bacterial small subunit ribosomal RNA", at positions 524 to 777 of the family's 1533-position model. The record is from RNAcentral.
UACAGAGGGUGCGAGCGUUGUCCGGAAUCACUGGCGUAAAGGGCGCGUAGGUGGUGGCUUAAGCGUGCGGUGAAAGCUCGGGGCUCAACCCCGAGUCGGCCGUGCGAACUGGGCUCACUGGAGCAUAGUAGAGGCAGGUGGAAUUCCGGGUGUAGCGGUGGAAUGCGUAGAGAUCCGGAAGAACACCGGUGGCGAAGGCGGCCUGCUGGGCUAUGGCUGACACUGAGGCGCGACAGCGUGGGGAGCAAACAGGG